UGGCAUAGCGGUUAAAGUGCUCAGCUGCUAACUGAAAGGUUGGUGGUUAGAACCCACC
Molecule: transfer RNA, 58 nt
Filed under: Loxodonta africana (African savanna elephant)
Lineage: Eukaryota; Metazoa; Chordata; Mammalia; Proboscidea; Elephantidae
Rfam family: tRNA
About the family: Transfer RNA (tRNA) molecules are approximately 80 nucleotides in length.
Source: Rfam by way of RNAcentral